AGGAUUAGCUAGUUGGUGGGGUAAAGGCCUACCAAGGCGACGAUCCUUAGCUGGUCUGAGAGGAUGAUCAGCCACACUGGGACUGAGACACGGCCCAGACUCCUACGGGAGGCAGCAGUGGGGAAUAUUGGACAAUGGGCGAAAGCCUGAUCCAGCAAUGCCGCGUGAGUGAUGAAGGCCCUAGGGUUGUAAAGCUCUUUUACCCGGGAUGAUAAUGACAGUACCGGGAGAAUAAGCUCCGGCUAACUCCGUGCCAGCAGCCGCGGUAAUACGGAGGGAGCUAGCGUUGUUCGGAAUUACUGGGCGUAAAGCGUGCGCAGGCGGAUUGUUAAGCAAGAUGUGAAAUCCCCGGGCUUAACCUGGGAAUGGCAUUUUGAACUGGCAGUCUAGAGUGCGUCAGAGGGGGGUGGAAUUCCACGUGUAGCAGUGAAAUGCGUAGAGAUGUGGAGGAACACCAAUGGCGAAGGCAGCCCCCUGGGAUGACACUGACGCUCAUGUACGAAAGCGUGGGUAGCAAACAGGAUUAGAUACCCUGGUAGUCCACGCCCUAAACGAUGUCAACUGGUUGNNNGGGGAGUGAAAUCCCUUAGUAACGAAGCUAACGCGUGAAGUUGACCGCCUGGGGAGUACGGUCGCAAGAUUAAAACUCAAAGGAAUUGACGGGGACCCGCACAAGCGGUGGAUGAUGUGGAUUAAUUCGAUGCAACGCGAAAAACCUUACCUACCCUUGACAUGUCCAGAACCCUGCAGAGAUGCGGGGGUGCCCGAAAGGGAAUUGGAACACAGGUGCUGCAUGGCUGUCGUCAGCUCGUGUCGUGAGAUGUUGGGUUAAGUCCCGCAACGAGCGCAACCCUUAUCAUUAGUUGCUACGCAAGGGCACUCUAAUGAGACUGCCGGUGACAAACCGGAGGAAGGUGGGGAUGACGUCAAGUCCUCAUGGCCCUUAUGGGUAGGGCUUCACACGUCAUACAAUGGUCGGUACAGAGGGUUGCCAAGCCGCGAGGUGGAGCCAAUCCCAGAAAGCCGAUCGUAGUCCGGAUUGUUCUCUGCAACUCGAGAGCAUGAAGUCGGAAUCGCUAGUAAUCGCGGAUCAGCAUGUCGCGGUGAAUACGUUCCCGGGUCUU
Molecule: ribosomal RNA, 1124 nt
Filed under: uncultured bacterium
Lineage: Bacteria
Description: bacterial SSU rRNA
Rfam family: Bacterial small subunit ribosomal RNA
Source: RNAcentral